This 271-nucleotide long non-coding RNA is filed under the name Lathyrus oleraceus (garden pea). RNAcentral's name for it is "Pisum sativum (pea) long non-coding RNA (PSAT_LNC038984)". The record is from RNAcentral. Lineage: Eukaryota; Viridiplantae; Streptophyta; Magnoliopsida; Fabales; Fabaceae.
AUGGAUUGGAUGGAUAUGGAUUGGAUCCUUAAUUGAUGGAUCAAAACAAUCCAUUAAAAGUUUUUUAAAAAUAUCCAAUCCAAUCCAUCCAUUAAGAAUAAAAUCCAUCCAAUCCAUCCAUUAUCAUAUUUUUAGUGGAUGGAUAUCCGUCCAUCCAUUUUUUUUUUGAAAAAAAUCACUUAUUUUUUUGAAAAUUUUAUUUUUUUCAAAAAGUUUUUUAUUUUUUUUGAAUAAAACAAUAUCAGUUUUUUUUGAGAAAAAUCAUUUUUUU